Long non-coding RNA from Ricinus communis (castor bean), 1794 nucleotides. RefSeq lists it as uncharacterized. The transcript is spliced from 2 exons. The record is from RefSeq and is a predicted model, not a curated record. NCBI's taxonomy places the organism in Eukaryota, Viridiplantae, Streptophyta, Magnoliopsida, Malpighiales, Euphorbiaceae.
GUGGUGAAAGACUCAAAAAACCCUGCUAGAUCAUGGGUUGGCAAGGGGUAGAGGAGUAAGGCGCAAGCUCAAACUGCAAUGAAAGGUAAAAGAAAAGAAAAGUCGAUGAUUGAAAUUGAUAGGGAAUCUGAUUCUAUCCCAAAAUUUCAAGUUAAAUAGAAGAAAAUCUUGAAUCAUAGCAGAACAUGAACAUACAGUGGUUAAGGGUUCAAAAAAGUCUUUUUAAGUGACAAUCCAUGUUGUUAACCAUGAAAUUGAUAAGCUGGUAAUACAGAAAGGCAUCAGACCGGGGAGUUAUGUUAUUUGUGAGCACCAUGGUCAUCCCCCGUCUAUUUUACCAGAUGAUCCUCCAGUCUCGAGAAGGACUUGUAACUUCGUGAGGAAGAUAUUGACAGAGAUAAGGACAACUCAAUUUGAGGAAGAGGAUGACUAUGCCAACAUGGAUGUUUGGAAUUGCCAAGGUGGCGACUUUAAGAGAUUUUGUUCGUACCCUUUAAGAUUUAUUGCAACUCAUAAACUUGAAGUUUUGGGUUUGCUUGAAACAAAGGUUAGUAGUGGGCAUGCUAAUCAGAUUUGUCAUAGUUUGGUUUUGACAACUAGAUCCAAGUAGAGGCAGUUGGUCUUAAUGGAGGGAUUUGGGUGCUUUGGCAAGAUACAGUUCAGUUGAAUAUUUGUUUUACUUGUCCCGAGUUUGUUCUUGUAAGGGUGCAUAAAGCUUUCUCACGCCUUUGGUUUUUCUCUAUAGACUAUAGCAGCCCGAAUUCGAGCUUGAAGAAGCUUUUAUGGAAUGAUUUAAAGUUUCAGAAUCUUAAUCCCUAAGGUUCGUGGCUUAGUGUUGGUGAUUAUCAUUAUGUACUUGAAGAAUCUGAAGUUAAUUCUAGAGCUGUGUUUUCCAGCAUGAGGUUUGGAGAUUUUCGUCAAUGAAUUUUUGAAAAUGAGCUGAUUCAUUUGGGGUAGAGGCAAUGGGUGUGGCCUCCAUGCUGGCCUAGAUAGAGCGUUGUGUAACUCCAAAUGGUAGGUGCUUUUUGAUAUUGAGACUGUUACUCACCUGCCUAAAAACAAUUGAAUCAAUAAUCCUUUGUUGAUUUCUUUGGUGCAUGUGACCCCUUCUCUGCAUAAUCCCCCUUUCUAUUUCUAAUUAGUUUGGUAAACUCAUUUUGAGUUCAAUAAAUUUUUUGCUAAUAAUUAGAAAGAUCGCAGUCAUCUGCCUGAUAAUACUACACAUGUGAUAGCUACCCUAAGGGACUGGAAAUCUAGUGUUUUGGUGAUACUUUUAGAAGGAAAAGGCAUCUAUGGGCUCCAUUUGAUGGUAUUCAACGCAAUUUGAGGGGUAUUUUCUCAAAUAAUCUAUGUAAGCUUGAGAAGAAGCUCUAAAAAGAGCUUGACUAGGCGUUGUUAUAAGAAAAGCUUUUCUGGUUCAAAAAAUCCAGAGAAGAUUGAAGCACAAUUCAGGGGUUUGUAUUCAAGAUGAAGGUCGAAUUAAAAAUAUGGUUCAAUAUUUCUUUAGUCAGAUGUUUAGUAAGGAUAAUAGGUGUGAUCCAAAUAUCCUUCCUCGGAGUGCUUUCCUUAGAUUGACGGAUUUCCAGCAUCGAGUCCUUGAAAGUCCUAUGUCUGAAGUAGAAGUUAAAGAGGCCCUCUUCGAAAUGGCUCCUUUCAAGGCCUCGGGUCCGGACGAUUUGCAAGCGGGCUUUUAUCAAAGACUACGGUGGUUUGUAAGGAAGUUUGUUUAUGAGUUUGUUUUCAACUCUUUUAAUUUGAGAACUCUUUUUAAAGGAAUAAAUGAUAAUUUAUUGA